GAUGAACGCUGGCGGCGUGCCUAAUACAUGCAAGUCGAACGAAACUUCUUUAUCACCGAGUGCUUGCACUCACCGAUAAAGAGUUGAGUGGCGAACGGGUGAGUAACACGUGGGCAACCUGCCCAAAAGAGGGGGAUAACACUUGGAAACAGGUGCUAAUACCGCAUAACCAUAGUUACCGCAUGUUAACUAUGUAAAAGGUGGCUAUACUACCGCUUUUUGAUGGUCCCGCGGCGCAUUAGCUAGUUGGUAGGGUAAAGGCUUACCAAGGCAAUGAUGCGUAGCCGAAUUGAGAGGUUGAUCGGCCACAUUGGGACUGAGACACGGCCCAAACUCCUAAGGGAGGCAGCAGUAGGGAAUCUUCCACAAUGGGCGAAAGCCUGAUGGAGCAACGCCGCGUGGGUGAAGAAGGUCUUCGGAUCGUAAAACCCUGUUGUUAGAGAAGAAAGUGCGUGAGAGUAACUGUUCACGUUUCGACGGUAUCUAACCAGAAAGCCACGGCUAACUACGUG
RNAcentral lists this ribosomal RNA (512 nucleotides) under uncultured bacterium. RNAcentral describes it as "partial 16S ribosomal RNA". It matches the Rfam family "Bacterial small subunit ribosomal RNA", at positions 28 to 507 of the family's 1533-position model. The record is from RNAcentral.